GGUGUAUUUUGGAAUGUCUAAUUAUGGGUGCAAGGGCUCCAAUUGUUGGCACCUAAAAGGUCUCCUAAAGUAAGUUAGAUAACUUAAGUUAAUAGGAAGUCCCAUACAAGUAGGACUUAUAUUAUAUGAUUGAAUAUGAUUCAAUCCUUGUACCUAUUUAAAGGAAUCUCUCCUAAGGUCCCUAGAGUAUCUAAACUAGCAACCCCACACACCAAAAG
This 218-nucleotide long non-coding RNA is filed under the name Elaeis guineensis (African oil palm). RNAcentral's name for it is "long non-coding RNA (EGUI_LNC018483)". Lineage: Eukaryota; Viridiplantae; Streptophyta; Magnoliopsida; Arecales; Arecaceae. The record is from RNAcentral.